Drosophila suzukii is the source of this 947-nucleotide non-coding RNA. The record is from RefSeq and is a predicted model, not a curated record. Lineage: Eukaryota; Metazoa; Arthropoda; Insecta; Diptera; Drosophilidae.
UUAAUCUUAAAAAGGACUUGUCCAAGUAAUUACAAAAAGCACAAAACCCAAUAAAAGUGGGGUACACAAUGUGUACUACACAUACACAUUAGGAAACUCAUCUUUCUCAUCCAUAAAUUUUUAAUUUUGCUACAAAUUGUAAUUAAAUUGUAUUUUGACAUAUAAGUUUAAAAAAUGAAAAAGUUACUUUUAAGGUUCUUAGAACUUCCUUAUCUAGAGCACAGUUUUUAUAUGAUUGAGAAUUUGCAUUCCUAUCAUAUCUUAGCGCAUGCGCAAAACAAUAAUGUUACUAUUACAAAUUAGAACUGCAAUAAUUUGUUUGUUAUUUUAAUCCAAAGGGAAAAUCUACUUUAGACUGCAGAAAAAUCUAUUUGGCAAUGCACGCGGUCGCCCUUAAGACCUAUGCGCACAGCAAAUAAUAAGGGCGCGAAGGGCUCAAGGAUUAAAAUAAAAUUAAGUCCAGUUAUCAGUACUUUACAUAUUAUUGGCUUGAUGCCCAGCACUUUCGUACAUACUAAGCAAUUGGGUUUGAAGUUUCUAUUAUUUUUUGCACAAAUGCAAUACACAUAGGUUGGUAUUAAUAAAACAAACAAAAUUCCAUCCGACAGAGAUCCAUCUACCAUCUACCAUCCGUUGAACUGAUGGUCCAUAAGCCUUUGCCGUUCCAAAAAUGUCCUAGUUAGUUCCCCAUCCAAAUUUUAUAGACUCUGAGUUCUCCUUCUUGACAGUGAAAAUUUAAACAUUCAGAAUGAAAACGUUAACAAUGAUGACGGCGAACUUUUGAAAAUGGAAGGAGCCAAAGCAAUAGGGUAUUAUGAUUUCAGUCAGAAAUUUGCAACGAAGUGAAGGAGACGUUUCCGACCCCUUAAAGUAUAUGUCGGAGAUGUAUAAGAAGAAAGAAAAUGUAAAAGAAUCUAUAGAGCAUUAAGAAAGAGAAAGAACAAAGA